GAGCCCAAAGGCGAAACCUGCAUGAAAGAAGAGGGCUUCAAGAAUGCUAGGCUUCCAGGAUUUCAAAUUCAAAGAGAGGAAGAGCGAAGCCCGGAGAUACCCCAAAUCGGUUGGGGUCCUUGUGUUUUCAGGGUUUGCGUCUUCAGUGGUGAGCUUCUUUGACUGCCCAUUGAGAUGCCGAUGUUUAUUUGAAAGGUGGAGAACAGAAGGUCAAUUUUGCUUGGCAUCUAACAGAAAGACACUUAUUUCUUCAAGAAUUUGAUUAUGGUAUGUCCUCCUACAUAUUUUAGCACCUAACGUUGAGACUCGCUGUCUUGGGUCUGGACCGAUAUAUUGAAGAUUCAAGAGAUAGACCUGAAAUGUUCAUGAAAGAAGAUACAAAAUGUAAAAAUGCAUAGUAACCUUGUAUCCAAAUUUUCAUACAACAUAUAAUACAUUGUUAUUCUGGUCCUGAGAUCCUUGAUGUGAUGAA
Elaeis guineensis (African oil palm) is the source of this 472-nucleotide non-coding RNA. The record is from RefSeq and is a predicted model, not a curated record. Lineage: Eukaryota; Viridiplantae; Streptophyta; Magnoliopsida; Arecales; Arecaceae.